AACGCACAUUGCGCCUUUUGGUAUUCCGAGAGGCAUAUCUGUUCGAGCGCCGUUUUCAAUCUCAAGCUUCAGCUUGGUGUUGGGAGUAAUCGCUAGAUUGCUCCUUAAACUUAUUGGCAUUUCAAGUCCUGCAGGGUAUAGCUUGACAAAAACCUCGCUAGACCUCAGCUCUUGGGAUUGCCUAUGAAUCGAAAAUGAUGGCCUCGGAUCAGAUAGGGUUACCCGCUGAACUUAA
RNAcentral lists this unclassified non-coding RNA (235 nucleotides) under uncultured fungus. RNAcentral's name for it is "sequence contains ITS2". The record is from RNAcentral. Lineage: Eukaryota; Fungi.